RNAcentral lists this small RNA (87 nucleotides) under Marinobacterium aestuarii. Its description in RNAcentral is "Marinobacterium sp. ST58-10 t44 RNA". It matches the Rfam family "t44 RNA". Rfam says of the family: This family consists of a number of bacterial RNA genes of between 135 and 170 bases in length. The t44 gene is found between the map and rpsB genes in all species in the full alignment apart from Shigella flexneri. Lineage: Bacteria; Pseudomonadati; Pseudomonadota; Gammaproteobacteria; Oceanospirillales; Oceanospirillaceae. The record is from Rfam by way of RNAcentral.
AGCUUUGGGGAAUAUCGCCACACACGUAUCGACACAGUUUCCAGGGUGCCGCUCGCGGUUGGAUGCUGGGAUACGUGGAGGUUUAAC